AGGGUUAGGACGAAAUCGAUUUGGGGUUUAGGGUUCGGAUGAGAUCGAUUUGGGGCUUAGGGUUCGAACGAAUUCGAUUUGGGGUUUAGGGUUCGGACGAGAUCGAUUUGGGCCUUAGGGUUCGGACGAAUUCGAUUUGGGGUUUAGGGUUCGGACGAGAUCGAUUUGGAGCUUAGGGUUUGGACGAAUUCGAUUUGGGGCUUAG
Molecule: long non-coding RNA, 205 nt
Filed under: Eucalyptus grandis
Lineage: Eukaryota; Viridiplantae; Streptophyta; Magnoliopsida; Myrtales; Myrtaceae
Description: long non-coding RNA (EGRA_LNC004667)
Source: RNAcentral